This 1485-nucleotide long non-coding RNA is filed under the name Astyanax mexicanus (Mexican tetra). RNAcentral describes it as "lncRNA (ENSAMXG00005015282.1)". Lineage: Eukaryota; Metazoa; Chordata; Actinopteri; Characiformes; Acestrorhamphidae. The record is from RNAcentral.
CACAAAACUAGUCGGUGUUAGUGGCCGGUUGCCAUGGCAGCGGCUUCAGUACAGCAUGGCUGCAGCAGCGUGAUGACGUCACAGAAUUUGGAACUUUGAGGUGAAUCAGAUCCAGAGUUGAGGAUUUUAGUGAUCAGUUCUGCUUGCAUCUGCGACUGAACUGCACACAGAGAGAGAAGUUCCCAUACAGCCAGAGAGAGAGAGUUAUUCAGAGAGACAGAGAGAGAGACAGAGAGAGAGACAGAGACAGAGAGAGAGACCGAGAGAGACACAAGGAGAGAGAGACCGAGAGACAGAGCGGUUUAUUCCUCAGAGAGGUUUAUUCCUCCACACUCCUGUGACUAAUUCACUGCAGAACAGCAGAACCAGAGAAGGAGUCAUGGCGAAAGACCAGUACACCAGAGACCUGGAGAAGCUGAUCAUGGAGCAGAGAGACACAACGUCCAGAGUGCUCAAACAGUGGACAAUCGAGAAGGCUGAAUGGGACGCGGAGAAAAAGAAGAUGAAGCUGGAAAUCGAAGAACUGAAGAAGGAAGGAGAGAGGCUCACCCUGAGAAAGAAGAAAGAGGAAGAGCAGAUGCACUCUAAAAAUGUGGGAGAUGUGAAGGAUCUCCUAGAAAUGAAACAGGUGCAACAAGCCAUGGAACGCCUUCAGAAGUCAGAGAAGGAAAAAAGAGAUCGAAUCCUGCAGGCCUGGACUGUGGCAAGUAAGGAAUGGGAGGAGGAGAAAAAGAAGAUGAAGCUGGAAAUGGAACAGCUGAAGAAGAAAGACAAAGAGCAGACGGGAGAUGUGAAGGAUCUCCUAAAAAUGACAGUAGUGCAGAAAGCAGUGGAUCUCAUUCAGAAGUCAGAGACUGAAAGAAUUGAUAGGAUCCUGCUGGCCUGGACUAAAGCAAGUGAUGAAUGGAAGGAGAAAGAAAAGAAGAUGAAGCUGGAAAUUGAACAGCUGAUGGAAGAAGGAGAGAAGCUGAAAGCGAUGAAGCAGAAAGACGAAGAGCAGACGGUAGAGGUGAAGAAGGAUCUCCUAGAAAUGAGAGUGGUCCAGAAAGCAGUGGAUCUGAUUCAGAAAACAGAGACUGAAAAAAGAGACAGAAUCCUGCAGGCCUGGACCGAAGCAAGUGAUGAAUGGAAGGAAAAGAUGGAGAUGGUGAUGAAAGAAAGAGAGAAGGAGAAGAAGGAGAUGGAAAAGAGGAGGGAAGAGAGGAAGAAAAAGAAGGAGAUGGAAAAGAUGAGGAACGAGAGAGAAGCCAGGGUGAUGAAGGAGGAAAAGAAGAAGAAAGAACAGAAAGAGAAGGAGGAGAGAGAGAUGGAGGAGAUGGUGCAGAAAAUGGAAGCACUAACCCUUGACUCCAGCUGGCAAAAGACUCGCCUCAAGAUGAGGAGAAGAAAAAUAGUUCCAUUUAAUCAUCUUUUCUGAUUCCCAAUUUCUUCUGAUCCCUCUUUUAAGAUUUCAAUAAAUCAGUUUUUAUUGAAACUGAAUAAAGC